UAAGCCAUGCGAGUCAACAUAGCAAUAUGUGGCAUACGGCUCAGUAACACGUAGUCAACAUGCCCAGGGGACGUGGAUAACCUCGGGAAACUGAGGAUAAACCGCGAUAGGUCAUCACUUCUGGAAUGGGUAAUGACUUAAAUCUAUAUGGCCCCUGGAUUGGACUGCGGCCGAUCAGGCUGUUGGUGAGGUAAUGGCCCACCAAACCUGUAACCGGUACGGGCUCUGAGAGGAGGAGCCCGGAGAUGGGCACUGAGACAAGGGCCCAGGCCCUAUGGGGCGCAGCAGGCGCGAAACCUCUGCAAUAGGCGAAAGCUUGACAGGGUUACUCUGAGUGAUUUCCGUUAAGGAGAUCUUUUGGCACCUCUAAAAAUGGUGCAGAAUAAGGGGUGGGCAAGUCUGGUGUCAGCCGCCGCGGUAAUACCAGCACCCCGAGUGGUCGGGACGUUUAUUGGGCCUAAAGCAUCCGUAGCCGGUUCUACAAGUCUUCCGUUAAAUCCACCUGCUUAACAGAUGGGCUGCGGAAGAUACUAUAGAGCUAGGAGGCGGGAGAGGCAAGCGGUACUCGAUGGGUAGGGGUAAAAUCCGUUGAUCCAUUGAAGACCACCAGUGGCGAAGGCGGCUUGCCAGAACGCGCUCGACGGUGAGGGAUGAAAGCUGGGGGAGCAAACCGGAUUAGAUACCCGGGUAGUCCCAGCUGUAAACGAUGCAGACUCGGUGAUGAGUUGGCUUAUUGCUAACUCAGUGCCGCAGGGAAGCCGUCAAGUUUGCCGCCUGGGGAGUACGGUCGCAAGACUGAAACUUAAAGGAAUUGGCGGGGGAGCAC
This 826-nucleotide ribosomal RNA is filed under the name uncultured archaeon. RNAcentral's name for it is "bacterial SSU rRNA". It matches the Rfam family "Archaeal small subunit ribosomal RNA", at positions 45 to 879 of the family's 1478-position model. The record is from RNAcentral.